RNAcentral lists this ribosomal RNA (460 nucleotides) under uncultured bacterium. RNAcentral's name for it is "partial 16S ribosomal RNA". It matches the Rfam family "Bacterial small subunit ribosomal RNA", at positions 338 to 795 of the family's 1533-position model. The record is from RNAcentral.
CCUACGGGAGGCAGCAGUGAGGAAUAUUGGUCAAUGGACGAGAGUCUGAACCAGCCAAGUAGCGUGAAGGAUGACUGCCCUAUGGGUUGUAAACUUCUUUUAUAUGGGAAUAAAAUGUUCCACGUGUGGGAUUUUGUAUGUACCAUAUGAAUAAGGAUCGGCUAACUCCGUGCCAGCAGCCGCGGUAAUACGGAGGAUCCGAGCGUUAUCCGGAUUUAUUGGGUUUAAAGGGUGCGUAGGGGGAUUGUUAAGUCAGUUGUGAAAGUUUGCGGCUCAACCGUAAAAUUGCAGUUGAAACUGGCAGUCUUGAGUACAGUAGAGGUGGGCGGAAUUCGUGGUGUAGCGGUGAAAUGCUUAGAUAUCACGAAGAACUCCGAUUGCGAAGGCAGUUCACUGGACUGCAACUGACACUGAGGCUCGAAAGUGUGGGUAUCAAACAGGAUUAGAUACCCCUGUAGUC